This 607-nucleotide unclassified non-coding RNA is filed under the name Hevea brasiliensis (rubber tree). The record is from RNAcentral. Lineage: Eukaryota; Viridiplantae; Streptophyta; Magnoliopsida; Malpighiales; Euphorbiaceae.
UUGUUAGUAGAAAUUGAAACUUUUAAUGUGUGUGCGUAGUCUCAUUCUCCAUUACUCUUUCUUUCUCAUUUCUUGUCUCCUAAUAGUCAAUAAUUGUGCAAAAUUUCAUUUUAUUGGUAAAAUUCAUAAUUUUGUUUUUGUUAUUGUAAGCAAAAGUAAAAUAAAAUUUAUUUAUAAAAGAAAUCUGCUGAAAAAGGGAAUAAAACUAACAGAAAAUUGGUAACUAAUCAAGAUGCCUUUUUAAGGAUAUAAUAGCAAUCUUAUUCUUACCUAAUACCUGCUUGAUUCGAAGGAUACAUUAACACGAUAACUGUAAAUUCUUGGUAAUCUUUUAUGAUUAAUCAAACUCAAUAACGACUCAUUCUUGGAAUCAUAUACCUUGACAUCACAUUCCUUGUAAAGCUAUUCUAAAAGGUAAGUUUAAAUCCGUGAACUAAAUGCUACCCAUGUAUUUAGAAAUAUGCUUUGUCAACACACUUGCUAUUUUGGUAGAACAUAAUGUGUAUAAUGAACUGAUUGUUUUAUUGAUUUUUCUAUUGCAUGAUUCUGUUAGGAGCAGAAUUCCUAACAGCUCUGUUACAUAAGAAUUAGAGAAGAAUAGAAGAGA